UUUCCGUAGGUGAACCUGCGGAAGGAUCAUUAAAGUUAUAGUCCCCCGGCCCUCUGGGCUGGGGUCUUCUAUACCACCCUUUGUUUAUUACACCUUUGUUGCUUUGGCAGGCCUGCCCUCGGGCUGCUGGCUCCGGCCGGCUCGCGUCUGCCAGAGGACCUAAACUCUGCUUGUAUAUGAAGUCUGAGUACUAUAUAAUAGUUAAAACUUUCAACAACGGAUCUCUUGGUUCUG
This 234-nucleotide unclassified non-coding RNA is filed under the name plant metagenome. RNAcentral describes it as "partial contains small subunit ribosomal RNA, internal transcribed spacer 1, and 5.8S ribosomal RNA". The record is from RNAcentral.